UUUUUUUUUUUUUUUUUGAGGGUCGGAAGACUGGCCCAAAUUUAGAUUGACACAUUCUUAAUGGUGUGCAGAGAUAUAUAGGUAGCUCAAGAAUUGACAUGGCAAGUGAAUGCAAGUCACUUUCUCUUAUCUGCAACAAAGCCAGAAAUAAAUAAUCCUUAAAAAAUAAAAAGAAACAAAAAAAAGUGGCUAUGAAUACUAAAUAUUGUAGCAGUAACAAGUUUAAUUUGAUUCAGAGUUUCAGAUGAUUGACACAUAUUUUACUUUCUUUCCUUUCUUGUGAUUCUUCUGAUGGCACACAAUAAACCUCUACCUUCCACUUAUAGAUUUUUCAAGAGGAAAGGAGACUCUAAUCACUAAAUUAUUAGUGCUAAUAAACCAGUACAGUAAAAUAAAGGUCGUGAUAAACAUUACGCUUUUCCCAUAAUCAAUCGAAAGAGGGUAUACACAAAACAUCCUGGUUUGGAUUAGGUGAGAUAACACAUCCAAAAAUCAGGAAUUUGAGAUGUUAACGGUCCACAUAAUUAUUAGUGAUUCCCCAAAUUGUAACUAAUCAAUGUUUUGUUUAUGUUGGAUAGUUGAUUUCCGAGAACGAUAAAUAAAUUUAUUCUUAUUCUAGGAUUGAUCCAACCAUCAAUGUACAUGACAAUUGAGUUUUGCGAUAAAAUCAUUAAUCCAGAGUUCAAAAAAUUAACCAAACAUUGGAUUGCACUUUACUUGCGACCUUAUUCCAUUUCUUUCUUUUAUAAAAAGGUCCGACUUUAUUAGUUAACUUGUAUCAUAAACAUAAUUUUCAAUCACAUUUUUACCUCACAUACAUCACACCAUAAAAAGUGUUAUAGUGUUGUUCCAAAUAAUCUCUUAUCCAAACACAUUAUUGUUUGUCCUGGGAUGAGGAAUGGGUGAGAUAAUUAAUAUUAUGAUUUUUUUAAAGUUAUUUUGACUUAAAUUUUGGUAACCGUAAGAUUAAAAUUAAACUUACGAAACAUAAAAUUGAAUUUUUUUUUUUGUAUGUAAUUUUCAACUGGUUAAACUUACGGAACAUAAAAUUGAAUUUUUUUUUUGUAUGUAAUUUUCAACCUCAGGCAUAAUACUCAAAAGAGACUAUAGCAUUUUUACAUGAAUGAUCCAAUAUGAGCCAAGCCUAACAUAAUUUUUUUAUGGGUGGAGUCAAGCCCACACUUGUUCAUAUUAAAUCCGCAUCCUAUACAUUUCUUAGACACUCAUGCCCUUUAGCUUUCAUAUAUUAAAUUAAAAUUUUUUUAAUCUUUAAAUUAUCUUUCUAUAUAAUGAAGACAGGACUAGUAUCAUCUUUUGUAAAAAGGAAAAAAAUUUCAUACCAUAAGCUUUACUGUAGUCCUGUAUAGAAAUCCCUUUUGCUGUUUAUUUCAUUCCAAAAUGUAUGUUUUCUCUGAAGUUGUUUUAAUUUUUUUCUCUUUCCUUUUAUAACUUACUACCUUUAUUUUGUUCAAUUGUCUUUAAUAGUAAUUUACACAUAAUUAGACGCUAGAUAUUAGCAUUAAGAACUCAAUAUUAUUUCAUAUUCUACUUUGAAAAAUAUGUAGAAUUCAAUUUUAUGGAAUUAAAAAUAUGUAGAUAUUGCUAUUUGCAUGCCAAAUUCUAAUUGAAAAAUAUGGAUUGCUAAAUUGAAUUUUAAUUAAUGGUUAAUAUCCUAAGCAAUUUUAAAAUGUUCGAAAAUAUACUCUUUUGCUUCAUUUGUUUUUCCUCUUCUUAUGAUCUGUUAAUAUAUGUUACAUAAUACUAGUAAUUAAUAAUAAUAAUUAAAGAAAAUAAAAAAUAAAAAUUCUUUUACUUUUUUUUUUUUGGUUUUAUCGACAUGGUAACUUAUUCUAUUAUGGGUUCAAAUGGGUCAAGGGAGAAUUUGGAGGGGAUUGAACCACUAUCGAACGAAAUGAGUACAAUUAGGGAUGUAAUCGAGUCGAGUCGAGCUCGAGUAUGUCGAGUAUCACCAUAUACAAGAAAGGUGCUCGAGCUCGAGCGAGUAGUAUUAUUGGAGUUCGAGCUCGAGUUCGAAGCUUGUUUGCAGAACUCAAGCUCGACUCGCAUGGGCUCGAGUCAAUUCGAGCCUUAUUGAGCUUGAUCGAGUUCGAGUUACAAAAUCUCAUUUUCUUGAUAAUUUUUGAGCGAAAAGACAUUAUUGACCUUUUAAAAUUUUUGUACGACUUGAAACAUUUCGUAAAUUCAACAACUCUUUUGAAUAUAAGAGUAAUUUUAUAAUAAUAAUAUAUUAAAAAAUUAAAAUUAAAAAGCUCGAUAAGGCUCGACGAGCUUUCGAGCAUUGCUUCUGAAUACUCGAACUCUACUCGCUUGCUUUAUCGAGGCGUUCGAACUCGACUCGAACUCGGAUUGAGUUUUUGACCGCUCGCGAGUAGUUCGGUUCGACUACACUCCUAUAUACAAUGCGCACUGAUUGAUAAAUUUUUUUGAAAAUUCUAAAAAUGAAUACCUGCACCCAAAGAGAGCCUCAAAGCUCUUUCUAGUGAACAACUACUCUCACUACUCUAAAAGUAAAGGUCGUUGGUAAAGGUAGUUGGUUCUUUUACACUCUAGUACUUUGUAAGCUUGAUCUGUUGCACAGCGAGAAAUGGACCACGUUCCCAAGUCAGCGAGUGAGAACUGAAAACUGAGAAGUAGCUACGCAGGCUUGAAGUUUUAACAAAUUGAGUCAACAAAGAGCAGUAAUUGUUUUAUUGCCCUUGCUGCUUUUAUUCCUUGUCAUUGUCCCAAAAAAAAAAAACAAGAAGAUACUGAUCACUUGAAUCCGAAUCCGCGAAUCCCAGAACGUACUUGAAGUCCUGAACACAACAAUACCAUCUGCAUAUUCUUCUCUCCAUCCUUGCAUCAGUUAUUAGUAAGUUAAUCUAUCCCGCAUUGAAUCUGAAAUUUUUUGGGUUUUUGACAUCCAACCAUCAAUUUACCCCGGUUGAAGUACUCAAUCUGCCGUGUCUGUUUCAUUAUUACCUUUCUUGCAUUUCAGUUUCUUGGUCGUAGGAUAUAUCGUUGCUGGCCAAAAGAGAAAAAGGAAGAAUCUUUUCCUGCUUUCAUUUUGGAUGUGAUAUUGGGUUUUUGAUGUUAACUUUAUUGUUUCUGCCUUACUAUUAUUAUGAGAACGGCGACUUGCUUGCCUUAUUUUCCCAUUUUGGCAUUUUUCUCAGCUGCCUGGAAAAAGAGUCUUGUUUAUUUUCUCUACUGGUCUUGCUGUUUCUUCAAUUGAAGUAAAAUUGUGACAUUAGGGACUUCUGAUUGCAGCUCUGCUUUGUUGAAUAUCAAUAAUUCCAAGAUCAAUCCAUUGAGUAUAGUGAAGAAAUGGCAGUGUAAGUCUAAAGUUUCUUCGACAUUUCAUGUUCGUCUAAUUCUCAGCGUUAUGGUGAAAAUUGUAUCCUUUUGCAUUCAAUGAAAUAGAAUUAACUGAUUUUAACAUGAAUGAUAUUUGAGCAGGAUUGCUUCUGCUCCUGGAAAGGUUUUGAUGACUGGAGGUUAUCUAAUUUUGGAGAGGCCUAAUGCAGGGAUUGUCCUGAGCACAAAUGCACGAUUUUAUGCCAUAGUGAAGCCCCUUUAUGAGGAAAUUAAACCUGAGAGUUGGGCUUGGGUGAGGCUUUUUUUUUUUUUUAAUUAUCGUGAACUUUUUCUUUCAGUAACAAGUAUUUUCCACUUCAUUCUUUAUUAUGCAAUCAUAAGUUUGAAUACUAUCUGUAUGAAGUUUACUCCCUGAGAAGAAUGCUUGGUUCAGUAGGGGAUAAAUAAACCCAUAUUAUUUAAGAAAGUUAGAAACCCUGUGAAGUAAUUAAUUUGAUGCCAUUUGAUAACCAAAUGAUAAAAGGACUAUGUCUUAUAUUAGGAUGGGCUUUAACGAGGUUACUUGAAUUGAUCUUUUAUUUGAAGCAAGCAUGUUAUACCUAAGUUUCCUCAUUCUUAAUCAACCUCCUCUAGUAUGUAACUGUAUGAAGAGUCUGUUUUUCUCUACCUAUGUAUCUUUAACCAUGAUCAAUUUAUUUGCAGAAUUUGAAUAGAGUUUGUUCUUGUUAACUUUUAGGCAUGGACAGAUGUGAAAUUAACUUCUCCACAGAUGUCGAGAGAAACUAUAUACAAAUUGUCCCUCAAACAUUUAACUCUUCAGCCUGUGUCUUCAAGGUAAGUCUAUCUGUUUUCACGCCUUACUUUUGUUGAACCAUAUCUGCUGAUGUCUUUCCGUUUAACUUCAAUCAUUUUUUUGUUUGCAAUUUUACAAUUAGAAAUAUGUAUGCUUUUGUGGAAUUCUGGAUUGGAUUCGUGUUUUAAAAACCACAUGCAAAGGAUUCAUGUAUUAAAUGGAAAUCACUGGAGUAAUGCCUUAUGCUGUUGGCUUAACAGCAGUGACUCAAGAAACCCCUUUGUAGAACAUGCAGUCCAAUAUGCAGUGGCAGCAGCUCAUGCAAAAUUUGGCAAAGACAGGACAGAUGCAUUACAAAAGAUACUUUUGCAAGGUAAUGUCUGACAUUUCACUCUUCAUAUUUGUUCGUUAAGCUAAAUGAAUAUAAAUGAAUCUAAAUUGCUGAUGGAUUAGUCAUGCAGGUCUUGAUAUUACGAUUCUAGGAUGCAAUGAGUUUUAUUCAUAUAGGAAUCAGGUAUUUCACAUUUCCUGUCAUGUAUCUUCAAGCCGUGACAGCUUAGUGGUGUUUAGUGAUCAUUUCCUUCAUUUCCCUCUUAACACAAUGGCUGUCUCUAAAUUACUGGUUGACUUGAAUCAUAUUUAUGCCCCAAAAAGCAAUUUGCUAGUUGUUCAAGUGCCAGGUUUCAUAAUAAUAAAAGCUUACUCAGUUUGACUCUUGCAAUUGAUGUUCUCUUAGCUUCCUUCGGCACAAUCAUCUAUUACUUGUAUGAUUGUGAGGUUCCUGUUCAUGUUUAGCAAAGAUUUGUAGUUCAAUAUCUUCUUGAGAUAGUCAUGCUUUCUAGUUAACUAACCAAUAUAAGAAUGGAUUUUGUUAUUUGGAUCUUAUCGUUUCGUAUAUGUCACUGUAUACUUUCAUAAUUGAAUGAAACUUUUCUAAGAUCAACUUAUAUAUGUGAGAUUCUGAAGUGGAACUUUCCCUUGCAGAUUGAGAAACAACUACAAAAAACUAAAUUAGAUCAGUCUUUUCUAUUAGGAAAUUUUAGAUAUUUGAAGCCUGCUGACUCUAUCUAAUUUAAGAAAAAUGAUGUACUUACUAGAUUUACCAGACCCACUGAUUUUAGGAACUCGUGUUAGCAAAAUUUAUUUUCUUUAGAACAUUGAUGCAUACUUGUGAAUUUGAAUCAACCUCUGUUCCCACAUAGGACUUGAUAAAGUUUUUUGGAUUCCUUAUGCCAUAUGGCAAUAUCUAGAUUGGUAGAAGCAUCACUUUCUGGUAGGUUAUCCAAUAAGGUUUCAUCCAUACUGAAAUCUGGAAUUUGCGGAAUGAAAGAUUGAAUUACUUUAUCUUUCAUCAUUACGACUCAAUAUUUUCUUGUUCCUUUUGCUAGACUAUUUAGGUUAAUAAUAUCAUAUUCUAUGCUUACAGUUUAAUAGAAUAUUUGUUCCAUUCUUGUUUUGGGUUUCUUGUGGAAACAUGUAGACAGUUAAAGUGUAAAUUGGAUACAUUUUUUUGUAGAUCGAGUUGCAAGGUUUACCUUUGACACCAGAAUCCUUGGCUUUGCUUCCACCUUUUAGUUCUAUCACCUUCAAUGCAGAAGAAUCAAGUGGACAAAAGCCUGAAGUUGCAAAAACUGGAUUGGGAUCAUCUGCAGCUAUGACAACUGCAGUUGUUGCCAGUUUGCUCCAUUACCUUGGAGUUGUUGACCUUUCUUCUGGAAAGAAAGUUGAUGCAGAUCUUGAUAUUGUGCACAUGAUAGCUCAAACAGCUCACUGCAUUGCACAGGGAAAAGUGGGUAGUGGAUUUGAUGUAAGUUCUGCAGUUUAUGGCAGCCAACGCUAUGUUCGGUUCUCACCAGAAGUGCUUUCUUCUGCUCAGGUGCCAUAUCACCCAACUCCUCAUGAUUAUCUGAUGAUUAUGUUUGAGUGAAAGAUGAAGGCAGCUUAGGUCAUUUUGCUCUUAACACCACUUGAGGCAUAUGAUUAAACGUGCACAUGCACUCAUGUGCGUGUGUGUGUGUACAUGCAGCUUAGGUAUUAGUUGUCCAUAAAUGAGUUCUUUUCAUUUUAUUAGUAUCACUUGCUAAACUUUAAUGUUUCUAGAUUUGAGAGUGACAGUUUUUUAUUGUCAAAAAGAACUCAAAAGGCCAAGUUAAUUUAUCUCUAUGUGCGAUCCAUGUCGUCUGAAAAGCUUUUGUAAGUGUUUGGUUCAUCUGCUAGUUUUUUUUUUUGUUCCCAGUAGUGUCCACCUGGACAGAAAUUGGGGAACAUUUGAUUAGGUAAGAAACUAGUAUUUACUCAAAGGAGUCAAACAGUGCUAUAGUACCUUUGAAUAUGCCUCAUUAAGUCAUUAUAGGUAGAUGGUACCACUGGGAUGCUUUGUUAGGCAAAGAGGAAAAUAAAUUGUGCCAUGCCUCAAGGAUGGAGAGACAAUGACCAAUCCUGAGCCCGAUGGUUGCAUCUGAUGUUUUCUUUCCCAGAAUCAUAAUGCCAUACUAGCUAAUGAUCAUCCAUGGCUUCUCUAGUGUAACUUUUUCUUAAAGGGCGAGGCUUACUUGGGUUAAUUUGUACUGUUUUCUGCUUAGCUUUCAACAAUAGUUACUUGAGGAGUAAAGUUUGGUUCUUAUGGUCUUUAAUAUGUGGUAAGGUGCUCUCUUAGAAAAUAUAUGGGGAAUUCCUCUUAAAAUUGUGAAGUAGAGCUUCUCUUUUAUAUAAUUGGCAUCAACAUUUGGUAAAGCGCACCCCAUUUUUCAUGUUUAUCUUAUAACAUGACAGUUCAUGAUGGUGCAGUCAUAAAGAAACUUCUUAUAGUCAUCAAAAUGACCUACUUCCAGUUGUCGGAUCAUUUGAGCAUUUUACUAUUGCAUCUAUGACAUAUGAUGGCUGUGAACUCCUGAAAUCUGCUUAAUGAUCUGUACAUCUAAAAACGGGUUCUUCUCAACUUAGCACAGAAGUUUAUUAGUUUCAGCAUAGAUCAUUUUAUGUAGAGCUAGUUUGAUAGCAUGCUUUAAAAAGUAGCUUCCUUCUAAGUUGCUGUCAGCCAUCUUGUAUGUUCUUCUUAACUUGAAAUAAUUUAAAUGCUUUUUGAAACUUUAUAGUGCAGGACAGCUGGGUUUUCCAGACUAAAAUAAAAUAACUUCAUUGGUGUUAUUUGAGUCAUAAAUCAGUGUCAUUGUGGACUUGCAGGGUGCAGUUAUAGGAAUACCUCUGGAAGAAGUCAUAUCUGAUGUCCUUCAAGCCAAGUGGGACCAUGAAAGGAAAAAGUUUUCUUUGCCUCCAUCAAUGACUCUUGUAAGUUGUACAGAAAUAUAGCAUUUGAUGGAAUUUAGUGCCCCUGGCCCUUGUGUAUAUGAUAUGGCCUCCAUGGAUACCGAUGGCAUUUGUGCCCCUUUGCUGGAUUUGUUUCUCAAGCAGAAACCAGUCGUUGAUUUUAUUAUUUUUUUCAGUCCUUGAUUACUUUCAAUAGAAUUAAAAGCUAAACAUUGAUUGGAAACCUACUGGUAGUAAUGAUAUUAGCUGGUGCAAUUGGAUCUUUCCUGACUUUAUGCCAUGAUCGUUGCCAAAACAACAUACACCAACUUUCUUUAUAUUUCAAAUAGCUGUUUGAUUGUACAUUACUGCAUCUGUGUGAGCUCAAGCAUGUGUUCAGUAUUGCAUUACGUGAGCUCAAGCGUGCCUCCUCCAAUUCUAGAUGAUGAGAAUAUGCUUCAAAUUGAAAUAAAUAACACCAUGUUAAUUUGCAUCACUUGUCAAAAGCUUUAUACUGGUUUUGAGGGUUCCCAUCAUUUCUAACUAACAGAGUAUGUUCACUUAGUUUCCUAAUGUUGUGAUGCACUUGCAGUUACUGGGAGAACCAGGAACUGGAGGAUCAUCAACACCAUCAAUGGUAGGUGCUGUAAAGAAGUGGCAGAAGUCUGACCCUCAAAAUUCUCUAGAAACAUGGAGGAAGUUGUCAGAAGCAAACUCGGCACUUGAAUUGCAUCUGAAUGCCUUGAGUGGAUUGGCUGAAAAACAUAGUGAUGCGUACCAAAAUGUCAUCAACAGGUGCAGUGGGCUUACCUCAGAAAAGGUAAAUCUUCAAUCAACUGCAGCAAAAUUUCCUGGCAAUUGGUCUCUUAACAAAUGAAUCCCUUCGGUCUUCCUAAAUUACAUUAUCCUGACUUGUAUGACUUGCAUGUCAAAGGCAGAUACCUUAUUCAUGUGCUGCUCACAUCUUGGCUGAACAUGCAUUUUUUCCUCCAAUCUUCAUAAAGUGCUAGUCUCCUAGUUCAACAAUGUAUUAGUUAAGCAACAGAGAUUUUAAUGCAGAUAAUGAGGAUCUUUGUUUAUGACAGUAAUCCAAGAUCUAAAUACAAAAGAAAUUUUGAUAUAAAUCAUCCCUGUAAUUGUCUAGCUAUGAAUUGAUUUUACGGGCUAGCAGAGUUCUUUUGAAUUGUCUGCAUCUGCACCUCAGGGAUAACCACUUCUCUUCUUGUUGAUUAAUGUAUUUUGUUGUGGAUGUCAACUUUAAUACUUUGGUGAGCAUUUCUCAUUAUGUUGAAACCUCUCUCUCUAAAAUGAGCUUGCAAACUUCUUAUCAACAGUGGGUAGGAGGAGAAGAUGAACCAAGCCAAGCGGUUAUAGAAGCAUUAUUAGGAGCUAGAAAUGCCAUGCUUGGUAUCAGAAACCACAUGCGGAAGAUGGGUGAGGCAGCUGGAAUCCCAGUAAGUCUCUUCUUUCUGGUUUGAAACAGCACUCGUCUAUGUUUUGUUGUCUGUUUGUCUUGCAUGCAUGUACGUGUUUUUAUUCUUCUUUCUGGUUAGAAACAUUAUUCCUCUUUCUAUCUAUCCCAGCACAUUCUUCAUUCCAGUUGGAGACUUACAAAUCCAUGAAUUAUGAAAAGAAAUGUUUAAAACCUUUCUCAAUAGCAGUUUAAUCUACUUAAACAUAUUUGUCGGAUAUGAUGGUCUCAAAUGAUAAGCCGAUUGGAAUCUCUUUUGCCUCUCGAAGAAAUCUUUAAUUAGAGAAUAUACGACACCAAAAACUUUACACUUGAUUCAAAGUGCAUGAGAUCAGAAGUGAUACUUCACAUUAGCCACGGAUGUUAUUUCAUGCCCACAGUUAACAACUGCAUAGGAAAUGCAGAAAGAAUUUGCAUGUUAGAAAGAAAAUCUGAAAUUGAUUUGUCCACAUACAGUUGGCACAAUGGAUUUGGAAAAGGCAACAGCUCUCUCUCUCUCUCUGUAAUUGUUUUGCAUUUGAGCAUUUCUUGAUCUGCCCGACUUCCUUUAUCUCUAUAGGUGCAUCUGUCCAAGUGUGAGCUUUGAUUUCUUUCAGUUAUCAUGUCCUAGGUCUAACAUGGUAGCAGGUACUGUUCACACUGCAUGUCUGUAGUCGAUCAGACCAUCACUUCUGCCAUGUUCCACUUUGCAGAUAGAACCUGAAUCACAAAGUGAGCUUCUAGAUGCCACGAUGAAUAUGGAGGGAGUUUUGCUGGCUGGUGUCCCUGGCGCAGGCGGGUUCGAUGCUGUGUUUGCUGUUACUUUAGGAGCUUCAAGUGACAAUGUCAUCAGAGCUUGGAGCUCUAGCAAUGUUCUUGCCUUGCUAGUGAGAGAAGAUCCUAAUGGUGUUUCUAUAGAGAACAAUGAUCCACGAGCAAAGGAAAUCACAACUGCUGUUUCUUCAAUUAGGAUUGAAUAAACCUAGAUCACCAGAAGUAAUGUGAAAGUGAACAAUCGCCCCCAAUAUUUUAGCAGCAUAUAGAAUUUGCAAGCAGGUAACUUUCUAGUGAGUUCUUUUCCAAAGCUGUAUUAGCUUUGAGACAAUAAACACCUAAUUAUAUACCUGUGGGGUUUCAUAUGUUGUAACAAAUAGGUUUAACUCUCAUCGUGAUUACUAAUGCUCUUAUUAGGCUGAUGAGUUUAUCCAAAUUUGGGCGUCUUUGGAGGCAUAGAUGCCUUCUGCCACCCAUGUGAAAGAAACAGAUUAAAUAACAUUAUUGUCAAUUGUUCUGUCUCUGACGGCGAUCACUGCUGCAAGUUACCUGAUAUAUAUACUCAACAUUGAUGAUGUCUCAAGUACUAUAUAGCAGGUUGCCUCUCCUCCCUCCGCAUGUUUUUUUUAUUUUUGCUUUUUCUCUGUCUUGUUGAUUGUCACGAACUUCUUGUAUAAAUGGCUAAUGUUAUUGGGAUGGUAGCACAGGAAAUACAGGGAAACGUUAUUUGCGCUCUCAUUUUUAUUAAUCACACUUCCACUAUCAUUUUACUCGUAUAGUUUCAAUUAUUAGACUAUUGCUAAGUUUUUCUCAAAUUUUUUAACUAUUUUAACUACAGUAAUUUGAAAAAACUCUUCAAAAUUUUGAAAAUAUACAUCUCAAAAUAUCGAUAAACAUACUAAAAAAUUUCCCUUCUUUCCUUUUUUCUUCUACCUUCCCCCCCCCCCACCACCCCUGCCUCCCAACUUAGAUGUUGGCAAGUCCUCUUUUUUUCUUUUCUUUUUUCCUUUCUCUCGUUCUCCUCCCUCCCUUCGCCUCCUCCCCCUCUCCCUUCCCCAAGUCCCCUCCGUUUCCGCUGCCCCCCAAUAGUCGUGCUGACCAACCAUGCAACCAACCAUCUCCCGACCCUGGGCCCCCCAUCCCAUCUGGUUGCAACUAGAGGAGGGGCGAGGGAAGGGAUGGAGGAGGAGAGAGGAAAAAAAAGAUGGGUGAGGUGGUGGUGGCUGGCGAUGGUGGGAUUCUGAUGGCUGAUAGUGGGAAGGGAAGGAGGAAGAACAAGAAAGGGAAAAGAAAAAGAAAAAGAGAACGAAGAAGAAAAAGAAAGAGAAAAGAAAAUUUUUCUCCAAACCCUCAAUAUUAUGAAAGUUUUUUUACAACUUUAAUGGUAAGUUAUAGUAAAAUUUUAUAUAAACAUCUAAAAAAUUCACUUGUCAAACAGGGCCUAUAUGAUAAAACAAAUUAUGGAGUAAAAGUAACAAAAUAUAGAGUGCAAAAACGUUUUCCUCCUAAAUAUAUUGUCACACCUUUCUAAGCACUUAUUUCCUCAUGUUCCCUGAGCAGCAGUUUUGCAUGAGGAUGCACGGUUUUUUUUUUUUUUUGGGGUAAGAGAUGCAUGCUUUCUUUAACGUUAAAGAUGGAAGAACUUAGUUAAAAUUGAUGUGGAAGAAAAGAAAAAUUUGAACAUCCUGUAUUCACCAGUAAUCUCCACAGGAGCAAGUUCCAUUUUUGAAAUGAUGGAAGCGAUUCCUAUCUCUUACAGUAAUUUCUCUUUCAUAAAUUGUUGAAAUGAAUUUAGUAUAUGUGUGACAGUCACUGCACAUUCUGACACUUCUAACAAUUCUGAUGGGAGAAUGCUGCGAUGUAUGAAUCAGUGCAAAGGCAAUUGCCAAUUUUUGGCUGUGAGUACUCAAUCUCUGUCUCUUCUCUUCUUCAUCUACAUCCAGCGAUACUUGUGAUGUAUCUGGGGAAUACCCUUCAAAU
Molecule: long non-coding RNA, 11561 nt
Filed under: Coffea arabica (coffee)
Lineage: Eukaryota; Viridiplantae; Streptophyta; Magnoliopsida; Gentianales; Rubiaceae
Description: long non-coding RNA (CARA_LNC005556)
Source: RNAcentral